UAAGCCCCAGCCCGUGUCUAUCCAGAAAGACCACUCAACUUCUCUGAUGUCCCACGAACAGAACCAGCCCGCUCACCUCUCUCUCUCCCCCAAGAACAGAGCACGGCCGCCGUCGCCUCGAUCUGCCCUGUACGGGCAUCUCCGGCGACACGGCGGACACCUAUAGAUUCCCCUCGUCUCCCUCUACCAUUUCCCCCUAUUUAUUUGAUCGGCCACCGCCAAAAACGCCGCCACCACUCAAUCCUAGCGCCGCCCGAUCCAGGUCUGGUGGGCUUGCCACCGGCUGCAGCGGCAACGACGUCUCCAUGCCUACAUCCUCCCCCCAGCGCAGCCACACGCACAAAGCGUGCAGCCACGGGCGUCGGGCGCGUGCGGCUUCACCGGCGCUGCUCGGUUGCCAUGCCUUUGCUGCUAACGGUGUGGACUAGCCACAUCCUACUGCUACUACUGCUAAAUAGAUCAAGGUGAAUAGAUGCUCAUGGACUGAUUCAAACCGAGGUGGAGAUAGAUAAGAAGUCAAGCAAGAAGGGCUAACACAACAAGGUACUUGAUAAGUACCUGGUGGCGCAUGCAACCCAAAGAGCUUCACAGCAGUGGAGGACAGUAGUGUGGCAGAAAGUGAAAAGGCAAGGUGAAAAGGCAGAGGGGUUUCUCCAGCGGAUGAUUGUGUGUGGCCACAGUGAAAGGGAUGGCUCCUAUUUGUAGUGGGGUGAAUAGCUAUGUCGGUUUGGAGACGCAUUACAUCUGGCAUGCAUGCGUGGUUAGUCUUGCAUGCAUGCCUCCACUUGUGUCUCUUGUGGGUUGUAUUAGGGACAAGUGUGAUUUGCUUGGCUGGCCAUUAGUUGGCAUUUACUUUGUGUGAGAGAAAUGAGACAAGGGUCUAUAAAAUAUAGGGAGGUUUGUAAAAGAAUUGUUGUGUAUGACUAAAUGCUAUUUCCUGUAAAAAUAUAUUAAAAGUAGUUGUUUCUAUUAUUUUAAUUAAUGUUUAGGAAACACCGUUGAAAUUAUCAUUAUCUAAUUUAUUUUUAUUAUUUUUAUUAUUAUUAUUAUUUUAUGGUUUUUACAGCUAUCCUACUGGUUGUUUCUGUAUGUACUAUCAUGUUAUCUUAGCCUACUAAUUGUUUGAAUAUAUUUAGCUAUCUUUCUAACAAUAGCCCAUCAAGCUAGCAAUAUUUCAUAAGCAACAUUUAUUAUACUAGAGAUUGACGAGUAUGAUAUAAAUAGUUUAAUUAAAUAGCUACCGUGAUGUGGAAAAUUCAUGUAUUUUCUGUUGCUGUUCAAGAGUAUGCCUGUUAAGAGAUUCAGUUGCCAUGGUUCCCUGGGCAAGAUUCAGUUUUACAUGGAUUAUUCUAGAUAAAUUCAAGUUAUUUGCGUUGGGACACCUAAGCUAACCUUUAUACCUUUCUAUUUAGGAGAUGGCAGCAAUAUAUACAAAAUAUGUCACUAAUUAUUUGUAGGGUUCAUUCUUGAUAGGAACAGAACUGUUAUAGCUGAUGUCAACACGUCAAGGAUAUUCAAGUUGUGUGUGGCACCCGGGAGAAAGCUUGCUAAUCCAUUCAACCACUUACAUGAGAAUCCAGUGCCGCAGGUGACUUAUUCAUGCAAGAACUGUUGUUAAGUGUUUUCCUUUUCUCCUUUGAUUCUACAAGCCGCAAAGGAGUGAAGGGUAGAAAAUAUUUCCAUUCUCGUUGAAUUGGUGGGAUUGUCACCAAGUAAGUGCUCUAGAUGUUUCUAUUUUAGAGUAAGAAGCCAAAUCCGCUUGUUCAUUGUAAAUCUUGGAAAACUUGUUGUUUAUUGUCACUUCCAUAUCUGUCAUAAACUUCUGUUGCUGGUGUGGUAUUUUUCAAU
Triticum urartu is the source of this 1848-nucleotide non-coding RNA. Lineage: Eukaryota; Viridiplantae; Streptophyta; Magnoliopsida; Poales; Poaceae. The record is from RefSeq and is a predicted model, not a curated record.